AAAUAAACAAAAAGAACCCAGUAUUCACUAUGCGCUUCUCCUUCUCAAAAACAAAAUUCUCUAUGUCACGCUUCUUUCUCUUUAUCAUGCUUCGGACUCUAUAUCACGCUUCCGAUUCGGUUUAUCUAAAGAACCUAGAAUUCGGCUUCUUCUGUAUUAGCUUCUUCUCUUACUAAUCAACCACAAGAACCCAGGGCAACUAAACAAAACCCAAAGAAGAAACAGUAUCGGCCGUUCUUUGCCUGGUGAUGAUAUUUGAAAUAGAUUAGUGUUUGGAUCUUGGUGGGAAAUCUGAUACCUGUUGGCUAUAUACAUUGCUAGCUAUGAUUGGAUAACAAUUUGAUCAUGGAGAUGUAAUUUGUGGAGCAGUUGUCAAUGUCAGAGCUAGGUAGGAAAAAAUAUUUCUAUGGACGAAGAAUGCUACAAAUGAUGCUGCAUAGGCAACUGGCACGUUUUGUUCACAUGUACUCUUUUGGACCCACUAGAUGACUUAACUUCUUCUACUACGUAUGGAUGUUGAAUUAUAAAUGCAACUUUGGUUCUAUAUAUACAAGUAUAAAACCUACUUGCAUUUGUGCUCAAGAUUUUAGAGAUGAAUUGAGAGAGAAGUUAAACAUGAUGGGCCGGUCAAGAUUUUGGUCUAAUAUGUUAUGAAAUGGAUGAAUUGCAGACAUUUUAGUAAUAGCCUUGUUUUAUGUUGGGAUCGAGACACGAUGAGUUGAAGAUAUUAACUGUGGUAACAUAGGGCAAUCUACUUAGACAAGCUAACAUGUGCUCCCUUCUAUUUGUUUGUUUAUUGUAUUGAUAGACACGUUGUAAUUUUUUAUGCUCGAUAUUGUUUUUGGGUGAAUGCAAAAAUGUAAUUGAUAUUUAAGUAAAAUUCGAUGGCUUGAACUCUUACAA
Quercus robur (English oak) is the source of this 903-nucleotide long non-coding RNA. RefSeq lists it as uncharacterized. Lineage: Eukaryota; Viridiplantae; Streptophyta; Magnoliopsida; Fagales; Fagaceae. The record is from RefSeq and is a predicted model, not a curated record. The transcript is spliced from 3 exons.